Molecule: ribosomal RNA, 882 nt
Filed under: bacterium CulaenoE10F
Lineage: Bacteria
Description: bacterial SSU rRNA
Rfam family: Bacterial small subunit ribosomal RNA
Source: RNAcentral
CGUAGGAGAACGCUGGCGGCGUGCCUAAUACAUGCAAGUCGAGCGAACAGACAAGGAGCUUGCUCCUUUGACGUUAGCGGCGGACGGGUGAGUAACACGUGGGUAACCUACCUAUAAGACUGGGAUAACUUCGGGAAACCGGAGCUAAUACCGGAUAAUAUUUCGAACCGCAUGGUUCGAUAGUGAAAGAUGGUUUUGCUAUCACUUAUAGAUGGACCCGCGCCGUAUUAGCUAGUUGGUAAGGUAACGGCUUACCAAGGCGACGAUACGUAGCCGACCUGAGAGGGUGAUCGGCCACACUGGAACUGAGACACGGUCCAGACUCCUACGGGAGGCAGCAGUAGGGAAUCUUCCGCAAUGGGCGAAAGCCUGACGGAGCAACGCCGCGUGAGUGAUGAAGGUCUUCGGAUCGUAAAACUCUGUUAUUAGGGAAGAACAUACGUGUAAGUAACUAUGCACGUCUUGACGGUACCUAAUCAGAAAGCCACGGCUAACUACGUGCCAGCAGCCGCGGUAAUACGUAGGUGGCAAGCGUUAUCCGGAAUUAUUGGGCGUAAAGCGCGCGUAGGCGGUUUUUUAAGUCUGAUGUGAAAGCCCACGGCUCAACCGUGGAGGGUCAUUGGAAACUGGAAAACUUGAGUGCAGAAGAGGAAAGUGGAAUUCCAUGUGUAGCGGUGAAAUGCGCAGAGAUAUGGAGGAACACCAGUGGCGAAGGCGACUUUCUGGUCUGUAACUGACGCUGAUGUGCGAAAGCGUGGGGAUCAAACAGGAUUAGAUACCCUGGUAGUCCACGCCGUAAACGAUGAGUGCUAAGUGUUAGGGGGUUUCCGCCCCUUAGUGCUGCAGCUAACGCAUAAGCACUCCGCUGGGAGAGCGACUUGG